This 744-nucleotide ribosomal RNA is filed under the name uncultured bacterium. RNAcentral describes it as "bacterial SSU rRNA". It matches the Rfam family "Bacterial small subunit ribosomal RNA", at positions 94 to 823 of the family's 1533-position model. The record is from RNAcentral.
AGCGGCGGAUGGGUGAGUAACACGUGGGGAACCUGCCCCUAAGUCUGGGAUACCAUUUGGAAACAGGUGCUAAUACCGGAUAAUAAAGCAGAUCGCAUGAUCAGCUUUUGAAAGGCGGCGUAAGCUGUCGCUAAGGGAUGGCCCCGCGGUGCAUUAGCUAGUUGGUAAGGUAACGGCUUACCAAGGCGACGAUGCAUAGCCGAGUUGAGAGACUGAUCGGCCACAUUGGGACUGAGACACGGCCCAAACUCCUACGGGAGGCAGCAGUAGGGAAUCUUCCACAAUGGACGCAAGUCGGAUGGAGCAACGCCGCGUGAGUGAAGAAGGUUUUCGGAUCGUAAAGCUCUGUUGUUGGUGAAGAAGGAUAGAGGUAGUAACUGGCCUUUAUUUGACGGUAAUCAACCAGAAAGUCACGGCUAACUACGUGCCAGCAGCCGCGGUAAUACGUAGGUGGCAAGCGUUGUCCGGAUUUAUUGGGCGUAAAGCGAGCGCAGGCGGAAAAAUAAGUCUAAUGUGAAAGCCCUCGGCUUAACCGAGGAACUGCAUCGGAAACUGUUUUUCUUGAGUGCAGAAGAGGAGAGUGGAACUCCAUGUGUAGCGGUGGAAUGCGUAGAUAUAUGGAAGAACACCAGUGGCGAAAGGCGGCUCUCUGGUCUGCAACUGACGCUGAGGCUCGAAAGCAUGGGUAGCGAACAGGAUUAGAUACCCUGGUAGUCCAUGCCGUAAACGAUGAGUGCUAAGUGU